AGAAGAAGAAGAAGAAGAAAGGAGGGAUGAUGAUUGGUGGUUACAGAAGGGUGAGGAGAUGGAAGGAGAUUGGAUCGGAGAAGGCCUCACGGGCGAAGCAAUAGGAGUCGAUCGCCGAUCGGAAUCGAGAUCGGGAACAGAGGAGUGUGGCGGCCAUCUCCGAGAUGAUGACGGUGGUGAGAUGGUUCUGCGUUUGUGUCAGCGUCGUGUCUCUUAUUAUUGUUAUUGGAUAGAAGAAGAAGAGCAUCUCCUCCAUUCAUCAACCAUCCACCAUUGCUUUUAGACAACGACCGAUGAAGAAGCUUCAAUUUCGCCACCAAAUUUCACAAAUAUCAACAAAAAUCAAUUUCUCUCUCUCUCUCGAAACCCUAAAAACAGAUUGAGGAUUUGAUCUUUGUUCAACUUUU
Molecule: long non-coding RNA, 407 nt
Organism: Arabidopsis thaliana (thale cress)
Lineage: Eukaryota; Viridiplantae; Streptophyta; Magnoliopsida; Brassicales; Brassicaceae
Product: other RNA
Exons: 1
Source: RefSeq